UCCCUGGUGGCUCAGAGGUUAAAGCGUCUGCCUGGAAUGCAGGAGACCCAGGUUCGAUCCCUGGGUCGGGAA
This is a non-coding RNA of Bos taurus (domestic cattle), 72 nucleotides long. The record is from Rfam. NCBI's taxonomy places the organism in Eukaryota, Metazoa, Chordata, Mammalia, Artiodactyla, Bovidae.